UACGGGAGGCAGCAGUGGGGAAUAUUGCACAAUGGGGGAAACCCUGAUGCAGCAACGCCGCGUGAGUGAUGAAGGUCUUCGGAUUGUAAAGCUCUGUCUUUUGGGACGAUAAUGACGGUACCAAAGGAGGAAGCCACGGCUAACUACGUGCCAGCAGCCGCGGUAAUACGUAGGUGGCAAGCGUUGUCCGGAUUUACUGGGCGUAAAGGGUGCGUAGGCGGAUGUUUAAGUGAGAUGUGAAAUACCCGGGCUUAACUUGGGUACUGCAUUUCAAACUGGAUAUCUAGAGUGCAGGAGAGGAGAAUGGAAUUCCUAGUGUAGCGGUGAAAUGAGUAGAGAUUAGGAAGAACACCAGUGGCGAAGGCGAUUAUCUGGACUGUAACUGACGGUGAGGCACGAAAGCGUGGGUAGCAAACAGGAUUAGAUACCCUGGUAGUUCACGCCGUAAACGAUGAAUACUAGGUGUAGGAGGUAUCGACCCCUUCUGUGCCGCAGUUAACAC
RNAcentral lists this ribosomal RNA (502 nucleotides) under uncultured Bacillota bacterium. RNAcentral describes it as "bacterial SSU rRNA". It matches the Rfam family "Bacterial small subunit ribosomal RNA", at positions 340 to 858 of the family's 1533-position model. Lineage: Bacteria; Bacillati; Bacillota. The record is from RNAcentral.